Long non-coding RNA from Myripristis murdjan (pinecone soldierfish), 167 nucleotides. RefSeq lists it as uncharacterized. The transcript has 3 exons. The record is from RefSeq and is a predicted model, not a curated record. NCBI's taxonomy places the organism in Eukaryota, Metazoa, Chordata, Actinopteri, Holocentriformes, Holocentridae.
UAAGGAAAUACUGAACUUGUUUUUCAGUGAAUCUUUGUAUUCUGUGUCGUAACCCACUCUCGCCCAUCCAAUCCACUCCAGUCCUUUCCCUGCAGGCUGUCUGAUCCAAGCUGUGUAAUAGCUGCUAACAGAAUAAGAGACCUGACAGGUGAUGGUCAGAGUUUGAC